GUCACCAUCGCAACAAUGAAUGCAAUGACGGACACGGAGGUGGUGCAGUAUGUGCUCCAGAACAAGAGUAACUAUUAUAAGGUGCUCAUGGUAGGAGCAGAUGCCACCGAGGCGCAGAUCAAGGUAGCCUACAAAAAGAUGGCACUCAAGUGUCAUCCAGACAAGAACAAGCACAAACAGGCAGCUGAUGCGUUCAAGCUGGUUGGCACGGCGCACACGACGUUGUCGGAUGCCACCAAGCGCAGCAUCUACGACCGGCACGGUGCGGAGGGCGUACAGCGGCACGAGAGCGGUGGUGCGCGUCGGUCCGCGAACGGCGCGGGUGUGUACCGCCAUCGUCCAGCCGGGCAGCGUGACUUCUUCGAGGAGUUCUUCUUUGGCAACGGCUACCAUGCGAACGGUCAUGGUGUGCACCCCGGCGCCGGUGGGGCUCGAUACCAAGCUGAGGUGAACAUCAAUCCCAAUGCACUGCUAUUUGUGCCCAUCGUUGUUUUUCUACUCGUAGCAAUGCUCUUGUCGAGCUCCUACACCGACGUCGAUGCAUCCAACCCGCUGUUCGGCGGCGGUCUCCGUGGCGCUGGCAUGGCUGGAGCCUCCUUUAGCUUCACGGCGUCACAGAACGAGGGCUUCGUGGUGCAGCGCACAACUUCCCUGUACGGGUUGCGCGUACCGUACUACACGACGCCUCGGAUGUCGGAAAUGAUGGACCGGCGAAAGGAGGUGUACUUGUCGAUGGAACAGAAGGUGUUGGAGACUUGGCGGGACUCUUUAGGUCGACGCUGCGAGGCGGAGUCGCUCAAGUAUCGCUCGCGCGGCCGCAACGAGGUACCGCCAGUGUGCGGCGACUAUCAACACUUCCGUCGAGCACUUGGUUGAACAGAUCGCCGCCACAUAUGCUCUCUCUGUCUGUUGCGUCACCGAGCAGAAGUCGCGGUUGAAAGCGAAAGGAGCUGGCGGAACGAGACUAAAGGCGUGCAACACGCAACAACACCGUCAUCCCAACUGUUUGUGCAAGUAACGGGGAGGGCGGAAGGAUAUGCGGAACAGCGAGAAACGAGCAUUCCAAAGAGAGGGAUCUGCAGACGGAGGUAGCGGAUGAGACGAAGAGAAAGGUGGCGAGUAUGCCGCCAACGGCUGAGGGCACAAGCGAGAGGAAGGUAUUAGUGUCAUUGCAAGUGCUACGAAGAAGGCUGUGAGCAUGUGUGUUUAUCUGAGCACGCGCUCCACUUCGUCCUUUCGCACCCGCCCACCCGCCACCUGACUCGCUCGUCGGUUGUCUACUUUCUUCUCUCAUUUCAUGCUCCUGCUGCUGACUUGCUUGCACAAAGCCUGUGCAGCUCGGCACGCAUGUGCGUCCCUGCGUCUUCUCUUCGCGUCGGCUACAGCUGGGCUAUUGGGGUUGUUAUAUAUGUUUAUCGUUUUAGGCCACGCUUGUGACCUCGUGUGAAGCGGGUGUGUGUGUGUGGUGGUGGUGGGAGGGCAAGUGUGGGCCCCUCUGCCGCACUCCUUCUGCCCCUUCCCCUCCCCCUCCCAAGGACCCCCUUUUUUCUUUUCGGUGUUCGUCUUCUGUUUCCUCCCAUUCCGUCCUCUCUCCCACACACACACACACACACACUCAUGCGCUCUGAACGAGAGGAAUGCUGAAGCCCGUCUUCCGGCUCUCUCUCUCCCCCUUCCCCCUGCGCAUGUAUACCCGAGCUCCUUCCUCUCUGGUGUGCGCUUCUCUCGUAUCCUCUCGUGCGUUGUUGGUCUCUCCCGCCUCUUUGUCGUCGUUGUGCUUACAACCGUUGGUGCGUUGCUCUGUGCCGGUAGCAUUAUAUGUGUAUGCGUGCGUGUGUGUGUGUGUGUGUCGAUGCACGCCAUCACCCCCUCCAUCCCGGUCUUUCGAUCAUUCCGCGUUAAGUGCGUCGCCGCCUUCCUUGUUUGUUCCUCAAUGCUGCCUAAACUUUCUCUAUCUCACUCCUCUCCCACGCCCCGGGGGGAUAUU
Molecule: unclassified non-coding RNA, 1987 nt
Filed under: Leishmania donovani
Lineage: Eukaryota; Euglenozoa; Kinetoplastea; Trypanosomatida; Trypanosomatidae
Description: gene:LdHU3.36.2900(CDS-product:chaperone_protein_ DNAj_putative)
Source: RNAcentral